AUAGGUGUUUAUAUCACCCUGCAGCCACACUGAAGCUAAGUAGGGUUGAGCCUGGUCAGUACCUGGAUGGGAGACCUACUGGGAAAACUAGGUUGCUGUU
Molecule: ribosomal RNA, 100 nt
Filed under: Sinocyclocheilus grahami
Lineage: Eukaryota; Metazoa; Chordata; Actinopteri; Cypriniformes; Cyprinidae
Source: RNAcentral